CUGUUUUUCACUUCGUUGUUAGAGUUUUAGGCCGUUCCAUGCACACUUGUGGGCGUAUAAAUGAUGCUUUUCAACCCUUUUUCUUCCGUGAAACUAGUAUCAUGAAUUAGUUUGUCUUAUUUUUAUUUUGGAAUCUUUUAUACUCUUUUAUUUCAAACCCCAGCUCCAGGCCCAAACGAUUUUACUAGACGUGUCAAUUUGUGAUUCGUAAAAGGCCUUUGGCUUUGGAUGACGGCGGAAAAGUGCUUAUUCUUUGUUCCGGCUAUAAGAUUUAUUGCCGAUGCAUU
Non-coding RNA from Paramuricea clavata, 287 nucleotides. The record is from the annotation of a GenBank genome assembly. NCBI's taxonomy places the organism in Eukaryota, Metazoa, Cnidaria, Anthozoa, Malacalcyonacea, Plexauridae.